ACUCAAAUGAAUUGACGGGGGCCCGCACAAGCAGCGGAGCGUGUGGUUUAAUUCGAGGCUACACGAAGAACCUUACCUGGGUUUGACAUGGCUCUGAACGCGGUGGAAACACCAAGGUUCGCAAGACAGAGUCACAGGUGCUGCAUGGCUGUCGUCAGCUCGUGCCGUGAGGUGUUAGGUUAAGUCCUGUAACGAGCGCAACCCCCGGGUCUAGUUACACGGUGUCUAGACCGACUGCCCGUGACAAGCGGGAGGAAGGUGGGGAUGACGUCAAGUCAGCAUGGCCUUUAUAUCCAGGGCUACACACACGCUACAAUGGCCGGUACAAUGGGUCGCCAAGCCGCAAGGCGGAGCCAAUCCAAUCAAAGCCGGUCUCAGUUCAGAUUGAGGGCUGCAACCCGCCCUCAUGAAGUCGGAGUUGCUAGUAACCGCAGGUCAGCUAUACUGCGGUGAAUACGUUCCCGGGCCUUGCACACACCGCCCGU
RNAcentral lists this ribosomal RNA (485 nucleotides) under uncultured bacterium. Its description in RNAcentral is "partial 16S ribosomal RNA". It matches the Rfam family "Bacterial small subunit ribosomal RNA", at positions 899 to 1397 of the family's 1533-position model. The record is from RNAcentral.